This 247-nucleotide long non-coding RNA is filed under the name Lathyrus oleraceus (garden pea). RNAcentral describes it as "Pisum sativum (pea) long non-coding RNA (PSAT_LNC038478)". The record is from RNAcentral. Lineage: Eukaryota; Viridiplantae; Streptophyta; Magnoliopsida; Fabales; Fabaceae.
AAAGGGCUUGAUGUGAAGGAAAACAAAAUAUGUUGAUAAUAAAUAAAUAAAAUAUGAAUAAAUAAAAAGGAUUUCUUUUUUUUAAGCAUAAGAAAAUAAAAAUAGAAUAAUAAAAAAAUGUUUUGGAAUAAUUUAAAUUAAAUGGAGUGAAAACUAACCUAAAUUAAAUAGUUCCAAAAAAAGAAAUAAAUACAAAUAAAAUAAAAUAAAGUGACAACAAAUACCCAAGCCAAUGAUUCAACUGGGG